GGCGUCGGAGCGGCCACAAGAUGGCGUCGCAAGCCUGUCUGCGAGAGGCGCGCGGCCGCGGCGGCUGGCGGUGCUGAGGGGGGGCGCGCGGCCGUGUUGGCACGCGCCGCAGCCGUUAGGACUCGCGGCCCCGCCCAGCCCUCAGCGCCUCACGGUAGAUGGAGGCGGUGGUGCCACGCUUGGACGCGGUAGCCGAAGCGAAUGCAAAUGAGCAAAUCCAAAAGCGACAGAAAUCACAGAACUAUUACGCUUGGAACAGACCUCUAAGAUCAUCUAGUCUGACCAUAAACUCAUCAUCAGAGAUUUGCAUGGCUUAUCCAUCUGGACUCCAAGGGAAACAUCCAGACUCUGAACUGAGGAUGACAGAAAGCUGAUGCUAGAGAAAGUGAAAGGGAACGUACCCAGGGCUGCUGGGGAGACCUCGGCUCGUAUGGAGGUAAGGAGGGAGGGAGGGAAUCCAGGAACGGAAAGAAGGAUGGGAGCAAAGAGGGAAGGGAGACAGACGGGCAGCGCUAUCCCUCACUGCCUGUCCGGAGAGAGAAAGCGGAGGGGGCGGGAGCCCGGAGCCC
This 569-nucleotide long non-coding RNA is filed under the name Gallus gallus (chicken). RNAcentral describes it as "long non-coding RNA NONGGAT005789". Lineage: Eukaryota; Metazoa; Chordata; Aves; Galliformes; Phasianidae. The record is from RNAcentral.